This 407-nucleotide long non-coding RNA is filed under the name Mus pahari (shrew mouse). Its description in RNAcentral is "lncRNA (MGP_PahariEiJ_G0002840.1)". The record is from RNAcentral. Lineage: Eukaryota; Metazoa; Chordata; Mammalia; Rodentia; Muridae.
GAGCCUGCCGGGCGUGUCACCACCCCGCACCUGGAGUCAUGCGUGUGCCCCACCUGAGCACCUGGGAGGCUAGUUUGCAUCAAGGGGGCAUCUGAAAGCCCCGCUACGCAGGCGCACAGGUCUGCCCUUGCCCUUCCCCCUCUCCCUAGGGUUUCUGUUCAAAGUGAUUGGAAGUAGCUGCUUCAGGGACGCGAUCCCAAACCACCCAAAGAACAUCCAGCCUGAUCCCAUGCUCCCUUUACUUCCUGCCCCAGGCCCCCUUACCUCCCGCCGCUGCAGGGCAGGUGCAGAGUCCACAGCAGCCCAGAGCGCGCUCUCCACGAGGUCUCAUGCCCAGGCUCUGGGAAUCAAACCCAGGUCCUCUGGAGGAGCAGCCAGUGCUUUUAACCCUGGAGCCAUCUCUCCAG